GUGCUUGCUUCAGCAGCACAUAUACUAAAAUUGGAACGGUACAGAGAAAAGUAGCAAGGCCCCUGGGCAAAGAUGACAUGCAAAUUCCUGAAGCAUUCCACAUUUAA
Molecule: small nuclear RNA, 107 nt
Organism: Gorilla gorilla gorilla (western lowland gorilla)
Lineage: Eukaryota; Metazoa; Chordata; Mammalia; Primates; Hominidae
Source: Ensembl